This 1373-nucleotide long non-coding RNA is filed under the name Setaria italica (foxtail millet). RNAcentral describes it as "long non-coding RNA (SITA_LNC007339)". The record is from RNAcentral. Lineage: Eukaryota; Viridiplantae; Streptophyta; Magnoliopsida; Poales; Poaceae.
UUUAUCAUACGCUUUUAUGGCCGAGUGGCAGCACUUUCAUGCCAAUGUUCAACCAGAGAGGUCACACCUACCUUCUCAUAUAUGAUUUCAUUUGAGCUAGUAGCUGAAGGCAAAUUUGCACUGAACUUAUUGUGACACUGGUGUGUUUAGUUGUAGUUAAGUUGUUUCUUGGCAUCCUCCAAGCUGAAGCCUUUGAGCCGUUUUGCCACCGUCACUGUCACCAAAUCGCUGGAGAAUACGGGCAGCUCCUCCCUCCCCCUACCCCGGCCCCGUGCCUCGUCCUCCACCGAGCAAAGCGACGAAGCUACUUCGCCGUAGGGGGAGGGACCUCGGCACCGAGCCCCAACCGCGGCAUCGCUCGGAGCCUUGCGAUCAGGUCGUUUGAUUGGAACUGCCCGUGCAAGGACGGGAAGAAAUUGAUGGGAUGUGGAUGGCGGGCGACGCGGCCGAUACCCCGCACCGGAAGAUGGUUGGCGGAUUGCGCCAUUUGUGCGACUAAUCCUUCACCACGCCGUCCUUUUACUCGCCCGUGGCUAGUUCUAAUUGGAACUCCUGUCCGUGUAUUUUCUCACCUGUGUUCCUUUUUCCUCGCAAUCUUUUUCAUGUGGGAAAUGGAUGUUAAAUACUACUUCAAAUUCACUAGGGAAUGAAAACGACAGAGCUUAGUGAUGAGGAUACUGGAUAUCCGGGAUCAAGGAGCAAUCCAAGACAAAAAUAGGUCACGUUGGUUCCCAAUCUUUCUUUUGUUUUUCGAAUGGUUCCCAAUCUUCUUCGUGAACAAAUCGGAUUACAUAUGCCUGCGUAUAAUUUAGAGCAUUGCAGGGGGGAGAUCAUCUUGGUGCGUGGAGCACGGGAUAUGGUCAGCUUUACCUUUAGUGCUGGAGCUCUCCGGUUAGUGCCAGAAGGGUGCUGACUAGGAGUGACAGUGCGUCGGCACACGUGGCCCAAUGCUAACUGGAGGCCGAGCUUUGCACGUCCUAGUGCCGGUUGGAGGAGCACAAAGUCAGCAGCAAAGCCAUGGAAAAGGAGAUGGAGCCUCCAGCAAGCCCUAAGCCUUUUCCUCUGCAUCCUAUGCGAGGGGAUGGCGAUUGGAGCCGAGCCUCAUGAUGGCCGCGAGACAAAGCCUGGAACUAACAAAUCACGCACCAGAUCUGGAUAGCGGAAAGGAACGAGAGGGGAAAACAAUUGAGCUGUGCACGCGAUGGGAUUGAAAAAAAAUCAUGAAAGAUUGGAUUGGGCUGAGCACGGAGAUGUUUUGGGUCAACUCGUUUGUUAGUGUUGACCUACAAAUCUCCUCUUUUUUUAGUGGGAAAUCAUGCACUUACACCCCCAUGUUGAUGCGACUUGCAUGCGACCGUUGUUCAUUAAAUGAG